UGGGGGAUAUUGCACAAUGGAGGAAACUCUGAUGCAGCGACGCCGCGUGAGGGAAGAAGGUCUUCGGAUUGUAAACCUCUGUCUUCGGGGACGAAAGAAAUGACGGUACUCGAGGAGGAAGCCACGGCUAACUACGUGCCAGCAGCCGCGGUAAAACGUAGGUGGCAAGCGUUGUCCGGAAUUACUGGGUGUAAAGGGAGCGCAGGCGGAACUGCAAGUUGGAUGUCAAAUCUACGGGCUCAACCCGUAUACGCAUUCAAAACUGCGGUUCUUGAGUAGUGCAGAGGUAGGCGGAAUUCCCGGUGUAGCGGUGGAAUGCGUAGAUAUCGGGAGGAACACCAGUGGCGAAGGCGGCCUACUGGGCACCAACUGACGCUGAGGCUCGAAAGCAUGGGUAGCAAACAGG
Molecule: ribosomal RNA, 406 nt
Filed under: uncultured bacterium
Lineage: Bacteria
Description: bacterial SSU rRNA
Rfam family: Bacterial small subunit ribosomal RNA
Source: RNAcentral